AUUGAACGCUGGCGGCAGGCCUAACACAUGCAAGUCGAACGGUAACAGGAAGAAGCUUGCUUCUUUGCUGACGAGUGGCGGACGGGUGAGUAAUGUCUGGGAAACUGCCUGAUGGAGGGGGAUAACUACUGGAAACGGUAGCUAAUACCGCAUAACGUCGCAAGACCAAAAAGGGGGACCUUCGGGCCUCUUGCCAUCGGAUGUGCCCAGAUGGGAUUAGCUAGUAGGUGGGGUAACGGCGCACCUAGGCGACGAUCCCUAGCUGGUCUGAGAGGAUGACCAGCCACCCUGGAACCGAGACACGGUCCCGACUCCUAAGGGAGGCAGCAGUGGGGAAUAUUGCACAAUGGGCGCAAGCAUGAUGCAGCCAUGCCGCGUGUAUGAAGAAGGACUUCGGGUUGUAAAGUACUUUCAGCGGGGAGGAAGGGAGUAAAGUUAAUCACUUUGCUCAUUGACGUUACCCGAAGAAGAAGCACCGGCUAACUCCGUG
RNAcentral lists this ribosomal RNA (490 nucleotides) under uncultured bacterium. RNAcentral describes it as "partial 16S ribosomal RNA". It matches the Rfam family "Bacterial small subunit ribosomal RNA", at positions 30 to 507 of the family's 1533-position model. The record is from RNAcentral.